This 272-nucleotide ribosomal RNA is filed under the name Limosilactobacillus reuteri. RNAcentral describes it as "Lactobacillus reuteri partial 23S ribosomal RNA". It matches the Rfam family "Bacterial large subunit ribosomal RNA", at positions 2657 to 2925 of the family's 2925-position model. The record is from RNAcentral. Lineage: Bacteria; Bacillati; Bacillota; Bacilli; Lactobacillales; Lactobacillaceae.
GAAAUUUGAGAGGACCUGUCCUUAGUACGAGAGGACCGGGAUGGACAUACCGCUGGUGUACCAGUUGUUCCGCCAGGAGCACCGCUGGGUAGCUAUGUAUGGACGAGAUAAACGCUGAAAGCAUCUAAGUGUGAAACUCGCCUCGAGAUGAGAUUUCCCAUUUCCUUCGGGAAAGUAAGACCCCUCAGAGAUGAUGAGGUAGAUAGGAUGGAAGUGGAAGUGCCGUGAGGCAUGGAGCGGACCAUUACUAAUCGGUCGAGGACUUAACCAAG